RNAcentral lists this long non-coding RNA (902 nucleotides) under Homo sapiens (human). RNAcentral's name for it is "HSALNT0301021". The record is from RNAcentral. Lineage: Eukaryota; Metazoa; Chordata; Mammalia; Primates; Hominidae.
AAAAGGGUAAACUGAUGCUAAAAGCUACCUCAAGAAGAUGCCUGGAGCAGGGUUCAAGAUCAAUCUAGCUUUUAGUCUCAGCCAUAAACCAUCUGAGCUUUGGGUAAGUCACUUGACCACCAGGCCGGUUUCCUCAUUAUGACAGAAUGGAAUUCUGAAUUCCCUUUCUGUUGUAAUAGUCUGAUUGCACAAUUUUCCAUUAGAGAAGUUUCAUACCUGUUAGAUCUCCUGCUGCCAGGAACUAACCUCCUGGGAGACAGGUCUUAUCGUCAUCCAGGCAUAUAGGAGGGUGUUGGGAAAACACUUGUAGUGGAUGCUGGAUUGUGCCAUUCAGAGCCAGCUCCCUUUGCUAUUGAAGAACUUAUUUCCCUACAUGUCAGGACUUCUGCUGGCUGAUGGCCCCCAGCUGUGAGCUCUUUCAGGCAUCACCUUUGGCUGCAAAAGGCUCCCUCUCCUGAAGUUACUACCUGCAUCCCUGGAGGCAGACUUCAUCUCAUGUCUUCAUCCAAAGUUUGAACAAAUUGGCUAAGAAGGUGCUAGACAUGUAAAGGGACUAUUUUUUUUCUUAAUUCAAAUGUAGGAGGAGUAUGGAUCUCCAGGAACCAGAAGAGCUGCAUACAUAUGCCCAACAAUUCAGCGACAGCACCAUCAGCCCAGAUGGGGGUUGUGAGCAAAGUCCGAGAUGGUCAGAAGGAAACGAGAACCUGGGAGGUGGCGAGUGUCCACUGCUCUAGUCUCAGGACAGCCUGCUCUGUUAAAGCACCUGGUCCUUCUUCCUGAAGACUUCAGUCCCACCUUGCAUUAUGUUUUGUUCUGUGUAUGUGCGUGUCUAUCUCUCCUGCUAACUGCUGAGCUUGCUAAGGAAAGGAACCUUGUUUUAUGAAAUAAAUGAUAUUUAUGAG